Molecule: long non-coding RNA, 5163 nt
Organism: Dama dama (fallow deer)
Lineage: Eukaryota; Metazoa; Chordata; Mammalia; Artiodactyla; Cervidae
Exons: 4
Source: RefSeq, a predicted model, not a curated record
ACUGGAUUUGGGAGGAGAGAAGGGGUGAGGCCGACCGGACUCAGGAGAGGCUGGGAGGAUAAAACCGAUGACGGGCUGUAGUCACUUCUUUUUUAUCCCUCUCCCGCUGCUCUUCAACGCUUCAGAAGGGCCCCAAGCUUUUCCAGAUGAAAAUUGGGUCAUCCCAGAGACUCUGACAUAUUAACAUAUUAGAACAUGUUAGAACCGGAUAUGGAACAACAGACUGGUUCCAAAUUGGGAAAGAAGUAUGUCAAGGCUGUAUAUUGUCACCCUGCUUAUUUAACCUAUAUGCAGAGCCUAUCAUGUGGAAUACUGGGCCGGAUGAAGCAUAAGCUAGAAUCAAGAUUGCUGGGAGAAAUAUCAAUAACCUCAGAUAUGCAGAUGACACCACCCUUAUGGCAGAAAGUGAAGAAGAACUGAAGAGCUUCUUGAUGAAAGUGAAAGAGGAGAGUGAAACAGUUGGCUUAAAACUCAAUAUUCAGAAAACAGAGAUCAUGGCAUCUGGUCCCAUCACUUCAUGGCAAAUAGAUGGGGAAACAAUGGAAACAGUGACAGACUUUAUUUUCUUGGGCUCCAAAAUAACUGCAGAUGGUGGCUGUAGCCAUGAAAUUAAAAGAUGCUUGCUCCUUGGAAGAAAAGCUAUGACCAACCCAGACAGCAUAUUAAAAACCAGAGACAUUACUUUGCCAACAAAGGUCUGUCUAGUCAAGGCUAUGGUUUUUCCAGUAGUCAUGUAUGGAUGUGAGAGUUGGACCAUAAAGAAAGCUGAGCACUGAAGAACUGAUGCUUUGAACUGUGGUGUUGGAGAAGACUCUUGAGAGUCCCUUGGACAGCAAGGAGAUCAAACAAGUCAAUCCUAAAGGAAAUCGUCCCGAAUAUUCAUUGGAAGGACUGAUGCCAAAGCUGAAACUCCAAUACUUUGGCCACCUGAUGCAAAGAACUGACUCAUUGGAAAAGACCCUCAUGCUGGGCAAGAUUGAAGGCAGGAGGAGAAGGGGACGACAGAGGAUGAGAUGGUUGGAUGGCAUCACUGACUCAAUGGACGUGAGUUUGAGCAAACUCCGGGAUUUGGUGAUGGACAGGGAAGCCUGGUGUGGUUCAGUCCAUGAGGUCACAAAGAGUUGAACAUGAGUGACUGAACUGAACUGAACUGAACUUAGAAGGCUAGAAGCCAAGUUUGGUCUGGUCUCUUUAGUGCAGGUGUUUGAAUGGAGUGUUUGUGUUGAGUGCUUUGGCAGGUUGCACCAGUUCUACAGAUGAUUCUAAUGUACUCUUAAGUUUGAGAAUCACUGCUCUUCUAGAGCAAGCCCAAGGCCCAAGUACAGACUGCUAAAGCAAGAAGGAGCAUCCACAUAACUGACUCUCAUAAGUUUUUCUAUACCUGUAAUUUGUUUUUUUCCUUCCUUCCUAUUUAGGUGGAAAUGGUGUAUACUUGGACCAGUGACUGGAUAAAGGUGUCACUGAAAGGAAACUUUGUGGUUAAUCUAAAUAUUUCUCUAUUACUGCAUGUUAGAUCUAUUGGUCAGAGAAGGCAAUGGCACCCCACUCCAGUACUCUUGCCUGGAAAAUCCCAUGGAUGGAGGAGCCUGGUAGGCUGCAGUCCAUGGGGUCGUGAAGAGUUGGACAUGACUGAACGACUUCACUUUCAUGCAUUGGAGAAGAAAAUGGCAACCCACUCCAGUGUUCUUGCCUGGAGAAUCCCAGGGAUGGGGUCACACAGAGUCGGACACGACUGAAGUGACUUAGCAGUAGCAGCAGAUCUAUUGGUGGCAGUCAAGUUAUAAAGAGGUUGCAAGAUCCACAUUUAGAUUGCACUGAACUAGAUGAGGAAGGGGCAUGUCCAUGCCAUGUUGUUGCUCUGGAUGCAGUAGCUGCAUGUGACUGGCAGUUGUCCAUAGAUUGUUAGGUGUGGGCAUUUUGGAAUUGUAGAUAUGGGGGAAAAUGGCCUAUGGGUUUAUGAGGCAGUCAAAAGGAGGACUGUAUGUAAACAUCUAUUUUGUCUCCCCUAUACCCCUUUGCUACCCUUUUCUCUACCUUACUCCCAUGGUUGCAUCAGGAGCCAUUCUUUAUGUACUUUCCCUGAGAAUUUGGGAUUGAGCUAGAGGAGGAAAGAUGAAAAAUCCUGGCUGCAUUUCAGCAUCUGAUUUAUUUGUUCCUAAGGGCCAUCUGCAUUAUCCUUGUGUUUUGUGAGAUACCACCACCAACUUUAUAAUAAAUUCCUCUUUUUGUUUAAGCUUGUUCAAAUUGGGUUUCUGUUACUUAAAAACACGAAACAUAUAUAUCAGAAGAGAAACUUUAUGCUAAACAUAGGCCAUAGAGAGGAUAAACAGAGGCCAAAGCCUUGAAAGUAGAAAGGGACAGUGAAUGUCACAGAAUAGUGGUUAAAGUGUGUGCUUUGGAGCUGAGAUCUGGGCUCCAAAACCUGUUCAACCCCUUACCUGCUAUAUAACAAAUUAUUUAACCUUUUGAGCCCUUAAUAUAUCUGUGAAACAUAGACUCAUUAAGUUUUCAUCAGAUUUAUUUGGUACCUACUAUGUGCCAGGAAUAACGCUUUGGUUAAGUUAGUGUUAGUCGCUCAGUCGUGUCUGACUCUUUGUGACGCCUGGACUUUAGCUCACCAGGCUCUUCUGUCCAUGGAAUUCUCCAGUCAAGAAUACUGAAGUCAGUUGCCAUUUCCUUCUCCAGGGGAUCUUCCCGACCUAGGGAUUGAACCCGAGUCUCCCGCACUGUAGGCAGAUUCUUUACCAUCUGAGCCACAAGGCAAGCCCACUAUGUGCCAGGAAUAACAUUAGGCUGGGAGUAAACAGUUCUCAACCCACUACAAUAUUGUAAAGUAAUUAGCCUCCAACUAAUAAAAAUAAAUGGAAAAAAAAGAGUUCUCAAGACAGUCAAGGAGCUCAGAAGCUUGUGAAGAUUAAAUGAUAUAUUAAAGUGUUUGGCACAGUAAGCACCUAACAAAUCUUAAUCAUUAAAGUGAAAGGUAGAGAGAAGCAUAAAGAGGUUGCAUGGAGAGUUCACAUUGUAUUAAAUCUUGUCUUCCAUCUAAGUAGUUAACUAGCUGUUUUAGUUUCUGUUAAGGCCCCACUUAGCUUUCUUUAUUGCCCAAAUCUGUGGGGGCUGUUUGAGAGGCCGUAAGCUUAUAAUGGUAAUAGGAAAUAAUUCAUUAGAAGGUCUAAUGAGGCUGCUAUAUUGCUUCUGUUUCUUAAACCAGCAAUAAUAGCAGGGAGGUUAUUUGAUUAGUAAAGAAAACAAUGACUGUGGUUCUCAACCCUAGUUAGGUUAAUAUGAUAUUAAUAUAUUAUCUGGGGAGCUUUUUAAAACAAUACUAAUUAGGGGGAUGGGGCCCAGACACUAUUUUUAUUUUACAUUGUGGUAAAAUAUAUAUAACACAAAAUUUACCAUCUUAACCAUUUUUUAAUAAAUUAAUUUAUUGCUCUUAAUUGGAGGCUAAUUACGUCACAAUAUUGUAGUGGUUUUUGCCAUACAGUUCAGUAGUAGUGUUAAGUAUAUUCACUUUGUUGUGCAACCAAGGCACUAAUUUUUAAAAAUACCUCCCUGGGUGACUUCAAUAUGCAAAUAGGGAUAAGAACCUCUGAGCUGGAAUGGAGAAAUCUUACAAAUAUUGGUUAAAUUCCUGAGUCUACUUCCUCAUUUGUAACAUGCAUGUGAGCUAGUCUUCCUCUAUUUAUCCCAAAGUCUUCUUCCUAUUCAGACUAUCAUCUAUGCUGUACUUCAUUUCUGUCUUGAGCUCCUGUCUUAAGACCCACCUUCUCAAUUUCCUCAACUCCUACAACUUGAGCUCCUCCUAAAUUCUUUAGUCACAGACUUAAUUAUGUCAUCUCAUUCUUUUAUAUAAUGCUCAUUAAUGAUGGCACAUUUUAAAUGGGUUUUAUUGUGUUUUAUCCUCCACCUUAAAUAUUUUCAUCUCUGAACCUCACUUUAUAUCAUCUAUCAUUGCAGCCAAUACUCAGUCUUUCCCCAGCAGGCUUGCUGUUGAUUUGCAGAUUGGCUUCAGCUUUAUUACAUCUCUAUGACUGUUUCCUCUUCUCUUUAGUGAUAUGUAAGGUCCCUUCAGGAGUUGUUACUGUUAUUUGAGCAAACCUACUAUGUGCCAGGCACAGUGCUAAGGCCUUUAUGUUUUUCUUUUUUUACUUAGUCUCAAAAUACCACCACUGAGGUAUUUUUACAGAUAAGGAAAUUGAAGCUAAUAAGUUAAGUAAUUUUCGUAAGUUCACAAAGCUAGAAUACAAAUCCAGGUCUGCUGGACUCCAAAAGGCAUCUGUAUUAACUAUAAUCUGAACGAGGGCCCAUUUCUAAACCAGUCUGAUUUCCCAAGUGCAAGUUUGUUGUGAAAGUCACUAGAGUUGUCUAACAAUAAGCACACUUAGCAAAUUUGGGACAUAUCUCAUUUAAUAGUCAAAACCACCUCAUUUUACAAAUGAGAAAACAGAAGUUUGAGAAAUCUGUAGAUCAAAAAACCUGUGCUUGUUCCACUGUGUAUCCUCCCUUUGUUGUUGUUUAGUUGCUAAGUUGUGCUGACUCUUUUGUGACCCUAGGGACUGUGGCCUGCCAUGCUCCUCUGUCCAUGGGAUUUCCCAAGCAAGAAUACUGGAGUGGGUUGCCAUUUCCUUUCUCCAGAUCUUCCCUUUAGGGAUCACCUAAGAGAGAAUACCUUGGAGUCACUGAAUCAUUAAAUCAAGAGUAGCAGAAACAAGGAGGCAUAUGGUUUGUUAGUCUCAUGAGUUCUAGAGCGCAAGAUGUACAAAUAGAUGAAAGAAAUCAAAUAUAGAUGUCUCCAUCAAUGAAGAAGUCUCCUAAUCUGAACAUCAUGCAUGACAGAGUGAGGUUAUCAAAUUCUCUCCCUCAAAAGCAAUAAGAAAACUGGACAAAACUCUCGAAAACAAUUUCAGCAAUCUGGAAUUUGGCCAAAGGCAUGCAACAAAAUCAAAAGUGUUAUACAUGAACACCACUCAACUUUUAAGAACUAUGUAAUCUGUGGCAUUUUUGCCCAGGGCUGCUCCUGUUAACUGUUCAUCAGCUCUUUUUGACCAGCAAUUCAAACACAGCAGCGGUGGUGCGGCACCGGAGCAGCUGAGAUGUGAUACCCCAUGUCCAGGGUCAGGAGUGGCGGCCGAGAGGAGAUACCCCAUGUCCAAGGUCAGG